Molecule: ribosomal RNA, 253 nt
Filed under: uncultured bacterium
Lineage: Bacteria
Description: partial 16S ribosomal RNA
Rfam family: Bacterial small subunit ribosomal RNA
Source: RNAcentral
UACGUAGGGGGCUAGCGUUGUCCGGAAUCAUUGGGCGUAAAGGGGGUGUAGGCGGUCCGGUAAGUCCGCUGUGAAAGUCGGGGGCUCAACCCUCGGAUGCCGGUGGAUACUGUCGGGCUUGAGUACGGAAGAGGCGAGUGGAAUUCCUGGUGUAGCGGUGAAAUGCGCAGAUAUCAGGAGGAACACCAAUUGCGAAGGCAGCUCGCUGGGACGUUACUGACGCUGAGACGCGAAAGCGUGGGGAGCAAACAGG